This 245-nucleotide ribosomal RNA is filed under the name uncultured bacterium. RNAcentral's name for it is "partial 16S ribosomal RNA". It matches the Rfam family "Bacterial small subunit ribosomal RNA", at positions 116 to 354 of the family's 1533-position model. The record is from RNAcentral.
CGUAGGUAACCUGCCCCGGAGCGGGGGAUAACAUUUGGAAACAGAUGCUAAUACCGCAUAACAACAAAAGCCACAUGGCUUUUGUUUGAAAGAUGGCUUUGGCUAUCACUCUGGGAUGGACCUGCGGUGCAUUAGCUAGUUGGUAAGGUAACGGCUUACCAAGGCGAUGAUGCAUAGCCGAGUUGAGAGACUGAUCGGCCACAAUGGAACUGAGACACGGUCCAUACUCCUACGGGAGGCAGCAG